Molecule: ribosomal RNA, 443 nt
Filed under: uncultured Anaerolineaceae bacterium
Lineage: Bacteria; Bacillati; Chloroflexota; Anaerolineae; Anaerolineales; Anaerolineaceae
Description: bacterial SSU rRNA
Rfam family: Bacterial small subunit ribosomal RNA
Source: RNAcentral
CACAAGCGGUGGAGCAUGUGGUUUAAUUCGAAGCAACGCGAAGAACCUUACCAGGUCUUGACAUCCCGAUGCUAUUUCUAGAGAUAGAAAGUUACUUCGGUACAUCGGUGACAGGUGGUGCAUGGUUGUCGUCAGCUCGUGUCGCGAGAUGUUCGGUUAAGUCCGCUAACGAGCGCAACCCUCGUCGUAUGUUAUAUGUGUCAUACGAGACUGCCGGUAAAAGCCGGAGGAAGGUGAGGAUGAUGUCAAGUCAGCAUGACCUUUAUAUCCAGGGCUACACACACGCUACAAUGGUCUGUACAAUGGGUAGCCAAGCCGCGAGGCGGAGCCAAUCCUGAAAGCAGGCCUCAGUUCAGAUUGCAGUCUGCAACUCGACUGCAUGAAGCCGGAGUUGCUAGUAACCGCAGGUCAGCAAUACUGCGGUGAAUACGUUCCCGGGUCUU